GCUAACUACGUGCCAGCAGCCGCGGUAAUACGUAGGGUGCAGGCGUUAAUCGGAAUUACUGGGCGUAAAGCGUGCGUAGGCGGUCUGUUAAGACAGGUGUGAAAUCCCCGAGCUCAACUUGGGAAUUGCGCUUGUAACUGGCAGGCUAGAGUGUGGCAGAGGGGGGUGGAAUUCCACGUGUAGCAGUGAAAUGCGUAGAGAUGUGGAGGAACACCAAUGGCGAAGGCAGCCCCCUGGGAUGACACUGACGCUCAUGUACGAAAGCGUGGGUAGCAAACAGGAUUAGAUACCCGUGUAGUC
This 300-nucleotide ribosomal RNA is filed under the name uncultured Thiobacillus sp. RNAcentral describes it as "bacterial SSU rRNA". It matches the Rfam family "Bacterial small subunit ribosomal RNA", at positions 496 to 795 of the family's 1533-position model. Lineage: Bacteria; Pseudomonadati; Pseudomonadota; Betaproteobacteria; Nitrosomonadales; Thiobacillaceae. The record is from RNAcentral.